This is a small nuclear RNA of Heterocephalus glaber (naked mole-rat), 174 nucleotides long. Its record names the gene U2. It matches the Rfam family "U2 spliceosomal RNA". Rfam says of the family: U2 is a small nuclear RNA (snRNA) component of the spliceosome (involved in pre-mRNA splicing). The record is from Ensembl. NCBI's taxonomy places the organism in Eukaryota, Metazoa, Chordata, Mammalia, Rodentia, Bathyergidae.
AUCGCUUCUCGGCCUUUUGGCUAAGAUCAAGUGUAGUAAAAGUAAAUAUGGUAAAGCCCCAGGAAAAGGGGAUAAAACACAUUUCUUGCUUUAUUUUAGAUUGGGUUUGAUCACAUUUUUUGUGUAUGUAAUUAGAUGAAUUCAACUGCCUCCAUUGCUAGAAUCUCAGUCUUU